Molecule: unclassified non-coding RNA, 330 nt
Filed under: Hevea brasiliensis (rubber tree)
Lineage: Eukaryota; Viridiplantae; Streptophyta; Magnoliopsida; Malpighiales; Euphorbiaceae
Source: RNAcentral
UUCUGAUUUUUCUGAUUUAUGUGAGAAAGAAGAAACCGUCAAAGAAGUGUUAGGAUCACUAGUAAAGGUUGCAAAACAAAUACGGUUGGAGAAGUUCGAGAUUCCAGCCAAGAUCAAAUUGCUCCCCGAGGCAUGGACUCCAGAUUCUGGUCUAGUCACUGCGGCACUAAAGCUCAAGAGAGAGAACAUCAAAAAGGCAUUUGCUGAUGAUCUCGCGAAGCUGUACAAGUGAAGCUGGGUAAGUUUCGGGAGGGAUUUUCGGUUUUACAAGUCCUGUAGAUUAGAAUAUAUGAACUAAAGUUACGUGUGUUUGCUUAGCUUCAAAUUGCG